CGUAAGAAUUUAAUUUUGGUUCUGAUUGAACGUUUUUCAGUAGUUUUAAGACAUGCAAAUCGUUAUUAAUAAAAAAUAUUAUUAUAUAAAUUCCAAAUAAAUAAUAUUAAUAAAAAAUAAGGUGUAAGGGUGAGUAUAGGUAGAUUAGAUACCUUAUAGACUCCUUAAAUAGGAGAUUAUUACUUCUUGUUCCACAAAGGAUCCGGUAUGCAAAGUUUUGCACAACUCGAAAAAAAGAUACUUAAAGUAAUAUAAAAUUAAGAAAAGAAUUAUUUUUGCCUAACAAACAAAAUAAAAAGCUAAUCUUUUUAAAAAAUCAAUAAAUUAACAGUAGUUAACUAUUAAAUUUUAAUAAUUUUAAAUUAGUGCCUACUAGCUAGGGCUUUCUUAGAUUUUUCUAAUAAAAGUUUAAGAAGUAGGCUAAAUUUUAAGGACAAGUAAUAUAAUAAUUUAGCAAUUAUAAAAAGGAAAUUUUCCGCUAUAAGAUUCGAUCUAUUCUGUUUAAAGGUAGUUGGUAGAGUAAAAGCCUAUCCAAGCCUACGAUCAGUAGCUAAGUUUGAAAGAACAAAUAGCCACAUAGGUAAUGAAAUUUUCCUAGUAGUGUUUUUACUACCAGCAGUCAAGAAUCUUAGUCAAUGCUCGUAAGAGUGAACUAGCUAACUGAAAUCGCAUAUUUUGUUAAUGGAAAUGUGAUAAAGUAAGGGAAGAAGUCUGACGUUACCUUACUAUAAGUGUUGUCCAAAGCUGGUGCCAGAAGACUCGGUAAGGCCAGAGACGCAAACGUUAAUCGCAAUAACCAGGCGUAAAGGGUUCGUAGGCAGCUUAAAAAUUUUAAAAUUAUAUAGCUAUAUGAUUAAUAUAUAUUAAUUAUAAUAAUUUUAAAAAUAAUACAAGAUAUAAUCAAAUAGAGGAUAAGUUGAACAAUACUUAGAGUAAGGGUUAAAUCUAUAGAUACUAAGUAGAAUACUCAAGGUGAAAACUUUUUAUCCAUUAUUGAUGGAAGCUGAGGAACGAAGGUUUGAACAGAAAAUAGGAUGUGCGACUUGAUAAGUUUAAUUAUUGUAUUGUAUUCUCAGAAUACAUUAUCUUUCGUCUGAUAAUAGCCAACCUAGACAUGCAAAAGAUUUGAUUUGAAUUUUAUCUUUCCAGAAAUGGUUUUGUGUGAAGCUCUAGGGUAAAGUUAGUUUAAAAGGUAAUCUACCUUGAACAUUUGAAAUUCAAAUGUUUUAUAACGAAGGCUGAUUUCUAAGGUUAGGGAGACCGAACUUAUGUAGUAAAGCUUAUUAAUUAGGCAACUAAUCGUCCUAGUUAGUUGUAGACGAACAAAUAAUUAAUAUUUCAAAGUAAGAACCUAAGGAAAUCUAUCGUACAUAAUUAGAAACAAGGGAACACCUAUAACCUGCAAUUAAUAUUUUUAAUUCUUAAUUUAAUAAAAUUGCUAGCUUAUUCCGUAAGGGUAAGUACAUGGUUAGAGGUAAUAUGAUUUAGAAAAAAGCGAAUGUCUAUUUGUAAUGAAUAGAAUAAGGCUAUUGCCUAACCUGAAAGGGUGCCUACUUUCUAAAGGUGCUAUAACAAAUAUAAUAAAUAUUUAAUUAAUAAAACAUUUUUACUUAUUUAAUUUUACCUCUGCUACUGCUAGUAACAGAGCCAAUUUAAAAUUUAAAACAUUGCCCCACUUUAGUCUUUAGUCUUUAGUCUUUAGUCUUUAGUCUUUAGUCUUUAGUCUUUAGUCUUUAGUAGGAGUGAGUUAUAAAAAAGAUUCUCUUUUUUUAUUAGGCUACAUAUUCUUUAUUAAUAUAUAUCUUUUUCGGCUGCAGUAGCAAGCGUUUAUAGAAGAAAAGAUUAAACCAACUCCAAUUAAAUUUGAACAUGCAAUUUCAGCUCCUAUGUAUUUUGCAGCUGCUACCCUUAAAUUUUUAAGAUAUGUAAAAAUAAAAAUAAAUAAUGACAACAAUAAACAAUAACAAUAAUAACAAUAAAUUUUUAACUUGAUUUGUUGGAUUCUGCGAUGCUGAGGCCAAUUUUCAAACAACUUUUGUAAAAAGAAUAAAUAAAAAAGGUCAAUUAACUAGCUAUGGUAUAAAAUAUGGUUUCUAUAUCGGUUUACAUGAACAAGAUAAACCUUUAUUAGAAUAUAUCCAACAAAAAUUAAAUAAUAUAGGAAAGAUUUAUGAAUAUCCUUUAAAAAAGGAAUGUCGUUAUUCUAUAUAUACUCAUGAUGAUUUAAAAUGAUUAAUUGAUAAUAUUUUUUCUAAAUACCCUUUAUUUACUAUUCAUCAAGCUACUAGAUAUGAACGAAUUAAUAAAGGUAUAAUUAAUAAAAUUAAUAAAAUAUCUAUUUCCAAUCGUAAAGGACAGGUUGCCGAAGAGAGCUAUGAUGUCCAAGAUCCAAAGUCUUACUUAGGUAUAAGUGAAAUAUUACCUUUAUUAAAUAAUAGAACUGAAUUUGAAAUAGAUAAUUGAAUAAUAGGAUUUUUUAAUGGUGAAGUAUCAUUUACUUAUUUAACUAAAAAAAAUAAAGAAAUUAUACCUAGAAUAAUGUUAGAACAUACAGAUGAGAGAGUUAUAAGUAUGAUUAAAGAUAGAUUAAAAAUAGGUCCCAAAAUAUUAGUUAGAACGAGAGAUACUAGAAAAACGACUUAUAGUUUACAAAUAAGUAGCCAAAAAGAUAUUACUAAUAUUAUUACAUUUUUAGAUAAGUAUAAUAAUCUAAGAGGUAAUAAAUUGAGCCAAUAUGAAGAAUGAAAAGAAAAAUUCAAAUUAAUUUAAAAAGUUAUAUAGAUAAAUAAAGUUAAAGUUUAGUUUAAUUAAUUAAAACACAUAUUAUAUAUAUGAAUUUAUAGUGCUUGAGCCGUAUGCGAUGAAAGUCGCACGUACGGUUCUUAGAGGGGGAAAGUUCGUGAGGACCUACCUAUCUCAAAUCGAUACCCAGUUAUCUCUUACUGUCAACGAUGAAUGGUAGUUGUUAGUUUUAAAACUAGUGACGAUGUUAACGCGUUAACCAUUCCGCCUUGAGAGUACGGUUGCAAAACUGAAACCAAAAAAAUUAGUCGGUCUCGAAGCAAACGAAGUGAAGCAUGUUAUUUAAUACGUAAGUACGCGUAAAAUCUUACCAGUUCUUGUAUAGCCAUUUUUUAAAAUGUGAAGUUAUAAUUAUUUUGGGCAUUACUAAAUAUAAUAACGCCAUAAAAAAUCAAUUUAUAACUCGUCUACAGGUGUUGCAUGGCUGUCGUCAGUCCGUAUUUUAAUAAGUUAGGUUAGCUCCACAAACGGACGAAAUCCCUGUUGUAAAUUUAUACUUUACAAAUUUAUGAUUUUUAAAUAAUUUCAUUUGGGGCUAAGACAAGUCGUUAUGGUCCUUAUGAACUGGGCUAUAGACGUGCCACGAUAACUUUUACAAAGUGAUGCAAAAUUUGACCUUAUUUUCCCUUUUUUUCCUUUAAUAAAAUUGUUGAAGAAAUAAAUUUAAUUUCUCUUCUCUCGCUUGCGCAGUCCUUAAUAAAGUUGUACACCUUUCAAUCAUUUCAAUAAGAACAGACUCAAAAUCUGAUUUGCGAAGCUUUUAUAAAAAUUUUUAACAUUUAUUGUUCUUUUCAUUAUAAUUGAAAGGGUUGCAAAAUAAGUUUAGGUGUCUAGCAGAGGAGGGAAUAAGGUCUUAAGAAAUAGCUAAUCAUUAAAAAAAGUUAUAUUUAAUAAAAUAAUAUUAAACGAAUUGUUGCCUGAAAUUCGGCAACAUGAAGAAGGAAUUUCGAGUAAUCGUUGAUCACAAGCGCAACGGUGAAGGUAAAAAAUUCGUGAUGAACUAACUGUCUGUCGCUGGGAAGAAGCUCGGGUAGGGGGAAACUGCUUUUUAAUUAAUAACUUUUUCUAAAGAAUAGCUUAAAAUUCACUAAUUAAAUUUUUAAGUGUUGUUUUAUUGAUAAAUUUUUAAAUUUUUAAUUGUUUAUCCUUAUUAGUUAUUUGGUUUUAAACCAUUUAACAAUAUUUUAGUAAGAUUAAACAUCUUUGUUAAGCUUAAUUAGUCUUAGUUAACUCAUCUAAGUAACAUCUCAAAAGUCAUAGCAAGGUAGCUGUACUGGAAAGUGCUGCUGUAAUAUAAAUACAAUCU
This 4108-nucleotide ribosomal RNA is filed under the name Desarmillaria tabescens. The record is from RNAcentral. Lineage: Eukaryota; Fungi; Basidiomycota; Agaricomycetes; Agaricales; Physalacriaceae.